CCGCUGGUGCGCGGCUGGAUCCGGCUGACCUACCGCGGCGGCGUCCUGCUCGGCCGGCUCGGCGUCGGCCCGGCGGCC
This 78-nucleotide transfer RNA is filed under the name Actinoplanes digitatis. Its description in RNAcentral is "tRNA-Gly". Lineage: Bacteria; Bacillati; Actinomycetota; Actinomycetes; Micromonosporales; Micromonosporaceae. The record is from RNAcentral.